RNAcentral lists this small RNA (753 nucleotides) under Rattus norvegicus (Norway rat). RNAcentral describes it as "uncharacterized LOC108350286". The record is from RNAcentral. Lineage: Eukaryota; Metazoa; Chordata; Mammalia; Rodentia; Muridae.
AACAGCUUAAUUCUUUACUCAUCACAGUCUCAGCCAGCCUGGGCUAUAAAGUUGUUACUACUCUACUUUUCUCAUGGGGGAUCUGGGGCCAGUCUGGACCAAGUCACCUAGUAACUGGCAGAGCCAGGACCUGAAGUCUUGUCAGUCUUGACUCAAAGACUCCACCCAUCAUACACACUGCUUCCAACACAAAAGGAACCAACAUUCUCUGUCCUUGGGCAUUCACCAAGGGUUCCACCAAAAUUAACCAAUUUUUCAUUGGGCCUGUGCCUGGUUCUCAGUAUCCUGAUGAUGCAGGCAUCGUUAAAUGGAGGUCCCACCGAGAUCAGGUAGAGAGGAGUACCUGAAAAGAUCGUCCCAGGAAGCCGGCCGGCGAAGGAGGGACACAUUGGAGAAAAAUGGGCCAGGAAAGGCCUCAGUUGGCAGGAUACAGAAGGAGACCGCGGGAAUUGAAAGCACAUGCAAAGAAAAAUAAAGAUUUGAGCUAGUGGCCUGCUCCCAGUUCUCAGUAUCCUGACGAUGCAGGCAUCGACAAUGCAGUGCACGUGUCUUUCCAAAGCUGACCAGAGGAUACUGAAGGAGCUCCAUAGGUUAGCACAUAUUCACUCUGUAAUUCACUCUGUUUGCCACUUAGUUUGCCUGUGGACAAUUAAGUUUUCAGGUUCCAACCAAUGCUGUUGUCUGCUCUGAGGUGGCAAUUGCCUGUGACCUAAAGGGAAGAAAUCAAGUGUAUUGCUGAUGUUAUUGCUACUA